RNAcentral lists this ribosomal RNA (253 nucleotides) under uncultured bacterium. RNAcentral's name for it is "partial 16S ribosomal RNA". It matches the Rfam family "Bacterial small subunit ribosomal RNA", at positions 524 to 776 of the family's 1533-position model. The record is from RNAcentral.
UACAGAGGUCCCAAGCGUUGUUCGGAUUCAUUGGGCGUAAAGGGUGCGUAGGCGGCGCGGUAAGUCGGGUGUGAAAUCUCGGAGCUUAACUCCGAAACUGCAUUCGAUACUGCCGUGCUUGAGGACUGGAGAGGAGACUGGAAUUUACGGUGUAGCGGUGAAAUGCGUAGAGAUCAGGAAGAACAUCGGUGGCGAAGGCGCUCUGCUGGACCAUAACUGACACUCAGGGACGAAAGCUAGGGGAGCGAAUGGG